Molecule: long non-coding RNA, 551 nt
Organism: Manis pentadactyla (Chinese pangolin)
Lineage: Eukaryota; Metazoa; Chordata; Mammalia; Pholidota; Manidae
Exons: 3
Source: RefSeq, a predicted model, not a curated record
UUUCCAAAAAUGGCCCUUGAAUUGUGAGUCUUAAAGUAGUAAUAAUCAUUUCUCAUCAGUUUGAGAAAACAACACGUUUUUAAAGCAGAUCUAGUAACUGAUGAGUGUCUGUUCCCUUUGGUAGCAUUGUUUCUUUACACUUUUUUCUUCAAGGGAAAGAGAAGCAGCCGAAAGAAAAAAGAAAGACAAGGAGAACACGGGAAGCACAGGAGAGAAGAACAACGAAAAGCAGGUUUUGACGGGAUCAGUGCCAUGAAUUCCGGGACAUGGUGAGAAACUGAAAGCUGGUGUGCACUGCAGACUAUGAUCCUGUUCGAGGUCCAUAUGACAAGAUGCACCCCAACAAGUGUGCCACGUGUCAGAGCAUGUUUGAGCGAGAAGUUAACGAAAGAAAAAAGAAUGAAGAAACAUCAAGUGCCAAGCCCUCAAACUAUGCAAAGGUUAUUUCUUAGAAGCUACGAAGAUAACUGUUUUACUGCUCAUCCUCAGAAUCUUGAAUGCUACUCCAGUUUUAGGAUAAUAAAGAUGCUAAUCUUUUGCUUCAAAGAAAA